This 505-nucleotide ribosomal RNA is filed under the name uncultured bacterium. RNAcentral describes it as "partial 16S ribosomal RNA". It matches the Rfam family "Bacterial small subunit ribosomal RNA", at positions 28 to 507 of the family's 1533-position model. The record is from RNAcentral.
GACGAACGCUGGCGGCGUGCCUAAUACAUGCAAGUAGGACGCACAGUCUAUACCGUAGCUUGCUACACCAUAGGCUGUGAGUUGCGAACGGGUGAGUAACGCGUAGGUAACCUGCCUAUUAGAGGGGGAUAACUAUUGGAAACGAUAGCUAAUACCGCAUAACAGUAUGUAACACAUGUUAGAUGCUUGAAAGAUGCAAUUGCAUCGCUAGUAGAUGGACCUGCGUUGUAUUAGCUAGUAGGUAGGGUAAUGGCCUACCUAGGCGACGAUACAUAGCCGACCGGGGAGGGUGAUCGGCCACACUGGGAAUGAGACACGGCCCAGACUCCUACGGGAAGCAGCAGUAGGGAAUCUUAGGCAAUGGGGGGAACCCUGACCGAGAAACGCCGCGAGAGUGAAGAAGGUUUUCGGAUCGUAAAGCUCGGUUGUUAAGGAAGAACGAGUGUGAGAAUGGAAAGUUCAUACUGUGACGGUACUUAACCAGAAAGGGACGGCUAACUACGUG